GGUAGUCAAUAAACCAUUAUGUACUGGCGGUCUUAAUACAUUAGAGAAACUCGCUUUAUAAUCGUAAAUACUCGUUAAAUUUAACUUAAUUAAUUUAGUUUAUAUACCGCCGUUUAGAAUCAACUUAUUAAAAUUCAUUAAAUAAAUAUAUAAAAAAUCAGGUCAAGGUGUAGCCAAUAAUUAAGGAAAAGUAAGUUACAUUAAAAAUAAUUUAAGGACAUAAAAUAAAAAUAAAAUUGAAAAAGAAUUUAUUUGUAUUUUCUAAUUAAUAAUUAGAAUUGAAAUAAAUAUUUAAGAU
RNAcentral lists this ribosomal RNA (298 nucleotides) under Pholcus sp. 'kohi' sensu Huber (2011). Its description in RNAcentral is "partial 12S ribosomal RNA". Lineage: Eukaryota; Metazoa; Arthropoda; Arachnida; Araneae; Pholcidae. The record is from RNAcentral.